Long non-coding RNA from Amphimedon queenslandica, 220 nucleotides. RefSeq lists it as uncharacterized. The record is from RefSeq and is a predicted model, not a curated record. NCBI's taxonomy places the organism in Eukaryota, Metazoa, Porifera, Demospongiae, Haplosclerida, Niphatidae. The transcript is spliced from 3 exons.
CUUAAUUACUGACCAAGAACUUAAUUUUAUGGAUAAUAAUGAUAGCUAUAAUAUUAGAAAGGAGAUUGCAAUUGACAUUGCAGAAAAGUUUAUUGGAAAUGACAAUGGCAUUAAUUGCAAUAAGUGUGGAAUAGUUUAUCCACAGAAUCAGGCUGCUAUUCAUUCCAAAGGUUGUGAAUGCUUUGUUUUGAAACAUCAAUCUCGGGAGGCGGAGAUUUUA